Molecule: ribosomal RNA, 403 nt
Filed under: Fusobacteriota bacterium
Lineage: Bacteria; Fusobacteriati; Fusobacteriota
Description: Fusobacteria bacterium partial 16S ribosomal RNA
Rfam family: Bacterial small subunit ribosomal RNA
Source: RNAcentral
UGGGGAAUAUUGCACAAUGGAGGGAACUCUGAUGCAGCGACGCCGCGUGAACGAAGAAGGCUUUCGAGUCGUAAAGUUCCUUUAUAUGGGAAGAUAAUGACGGUACCAUAAGAAAAAGCCCCGGCUAACUACGUGCCAGCAGCCGCGGUAAUACGUAGGGGGCUAGCGUUGUCCGGAAUCACUGGGCGUAAAGGGUUCGUAGGCGGAAAUGCAAGUCAGGUGUAAAAGGCAGUAGCAUAACUACUGUAAGCAUUUGAAACUGCAUGUCUUGAGAAGGGUAGAGGUAAGUGGAAUUUUUAGUGUGGCGGUGAAAUGCGUGGAUAUUAAAAAAAAUACCGGUGGCGAAGGCGACUUACUGGGCUCAAUCUAACGCAAAGGAACGAAAGCGUGGGUAGCAAACAGG